ACACAAACAAUUAUCCUGGUUCACCCCCUAAUAGUAUGGGCUACUCCAGUCCUCACGCUCCUGUGAGAUUAUCCACUAUGAGAUACUACCGAUCUCAAAUUACACUUCUUCCUUGAUCUAGUCCAAUAUCAUAAUCUUCCAAGCUUCACUCGCUUGAUCUACCUAAGUCCUCCAGACUUUAUAAGGUGUCACUCAAUCAAUAGUUACGUAUUGACUUGAGCCAAUCUUUUACAAAUGAUGAUGGUUUGGAUCUUCAAG
Molecule: long non-coding RNA, 258 nt
Filed under: Trifolium pratense (red clover)
Lineage: Eukaryota; Viridiplantae; Streptophyta; Magnoliopsida; Fabales; Fabaceae
Description: long non-coding RNA (TPRA_LNC005457)
Source: RNAcentral